This 175-nucleotide unclassified non-coding RNA is filed under the name uncultured Pulvinula. RNAcentral describes it as "sequence contains ITS2". Lineage: Eukaryota; Fungi; Ascomycota; Pezizomycetes; Pezizales; Pyronemataceae. The record is from RNAcentral.
CAAAACCCAUCAAGCUUGAAUUUAUUCAUGACUUGGUAUUGGAGUUGGAGUGAGCAUGUGCCAUUCCUAUCCGAAAACCAAUGGCAAAGUUGUCUGCACCAAUAAGCGUAGUAACCAACAUUAUGUUUCGCUUUGGUAUAGAUACAUCUUCCGCCGUUAACCCCCCAUUUCAAGU